CGAACGGGUGAGUAACGCGUGAGGAACCUGCCUCAAAGAGGGGGACAACAGUUGGAAACGACUGCUAAUACCGCAUAAGCCCACGGUGCCGCAUGGUACAGAGGGAAAAGGAGCAAUCCGCUUUGAGAUGGCCUCGCGUCCGAUUAGCUAGUUGGUGAGGUAACGGCCCACCAAGGCGACGAUCGGUAGCCGGACUGAGAGGUUGAACGGCCACAUUGGGACUGAGACACGGCCCAG
Molecule: ribosomal RNA, 237 nt
Filed under: uncultured bacterium
Lineage: Bacteria
Description: partial 16S ribosomal RNA
Rfam family: Bacterial small subunit ribosomal RNA
Source: RNAcentral